RNAcentral lists this ribosomal RNA (641 nucleotides) under Amycolatopsis sp. I13A-00625. RNAcentral describes it as "bacterial SSU rRNA". It matches the Rfam family "Bacterial small subunit ribosomal RNA", at positions 97 to 752 of the family's 1533-position model. The record is from RNAcentral. Lineage: Bacteria; Bacillati; Actinomycetota; Actinomycetes; Pseudonocardiales; Pseudonocardiaceae.
GGCGAACGGGUGAGUAACACGUGGGUAAUCUGCCCUGCACUCUGGGAUAAGCCUUGGAAACGGGGUCUAAUACCGGAUAUCACAACUUCAGGCAUCUGGGGUUGUUGAAAGUUCUGGCGGUGCAGGAUGAACCCGCGGCCUAUCAGCUUGUUGGUGGGGUAAUGGCCUACCAAGGCGACGACGGGUAGCCGGCCUGAGAGGGUGACCGGCCACACUGGGACUGAGACACGGCCCAGACUCCUACGGGAGGCAGCAGUGGGGAAUAUUGCACAAUGGGCGAAAGCCUGAUGCAGCGACGCCGCGUGAGGGAUGACGGCCUUCGGGUUGUAAACCUCUUUCGCCAGGGACGAAGCGCAAGUGACGGUACCUGGAUAAGAAGCACCGGCUAACUACGUGCCAGCAGCCGCGGUAAUACGUAGGGUGCGAGCGUUGUCCGGAAUUAUUGGGCGUAAAGAGCUCGUAGGCGGUUUGUCGCGUCGGCCGUGAAAUCUCCACGCUUAACGUGGAGCGUGCGGUCGAUACGGGCAGACUUGAGUUCGGUAGGGGAGACUGGAAUUCCUGGUGUAGCGGUGAAAUGCGCAGAUAUCAGGAGGAACACCGGUGGCGAAGGCGGGUCUCUGGGCCGAUACUGACGCUGAGGA